This 2440-nucleotide long non-coding RNA is filed under the name Canis lupus familiaris (dog). RNAcentral describes it as "lncRNA (ENSCAFG00845024372.1)". The record is from RNAcentral. Lineage: Eukaryota; Metazoa; Chordata; Mammalia; Carnivora; Canidae.
AAGAUUUUAUUUAUUUAUUCAUGAGAGACAGAGAAAGAGAGGCAGAGACACAGGCAGAGGGAGAAGCAGGCUCCACGCGGGGAGGGACUCGAUCCCGGGACUCCAGGAUCACACCCUGAGCCCAAGGCAGGUGCUAAACAGCUGAGCCACCCAGGGUUGAGGACCCAACUCCCCUGCCAUCUGGCCCCACCCCUAGCACAAUAACCUUUAGGUCCAUCCAUGUUGUCUCAGGUGGCAUAAUCUCAUCCCCUUUAUGGCUGUGUAACAUUCCAUUGUGUGCAUGUACACCACAUUUUACUUAUCCAUUCAUUUACUCACGGGUACUUAGAUUGCUUCCAUGUAAAUCAUGCUGAAAUAAACCUAGGGGUACACACAUAUUCUGGAAUUAGUGUUUUCAUUUUCUCUGGGUAAACAGCCAAUAGUGGAAGUAUGGGAAUGUAUGGUCAUUCUAUUUGUAAUUUUUUGAGGAUCCACCAUUCUGUUUUCUACAGUGGUUUUACCAAUUUACUUUCCCACCAGCGGUUCACCAGCGUUCCUUUCUCUCCAUAUCUUUGCCAACAUUUGUUGUUUCUUUUUAAUGUUAGUGAUUAUAACAGGUAUGAGGUGAUGUCUCAUUGUGGCUUUGAUACACAUUUCCCUGAUGAUGAUUGAUAUUGAGCAUGUUUUCAUGUUUCUGUUGGUAUACCACAUCUUGUUCAUUCACGCAGCUAUCGAUGAACAUUUGACUGCUUCCAUAGUUUGUCUACUGAAACUACUGCUGCAAUAAACAUGGGGAUGCAUCUUUCUGUUUUAAUUAGUGUUUUUGUGUUUUGGGAGUAAAUAAUAACCAGUAGUACAACACUGGAUCAAAGGGUAGUUCUAUUUUUAACUUUUUGAGGAAACUGCAUACAGUUUUCCACAGUGGCUGCACCAGUUUGCAUUACUAUCAACAGUACAAGAGGGUUCCUUUUUCUCCACAUCCUUGCCAAUAUUUAUUUCUUGUGUUUUAUGUUUAGCCAUUCUGACAAGUGUGAGGUGAUAUCUCAUUGUGGUUUUGAUUUGCAUUUCCCUGAGGAUCAGUAGUGUGGAGCAUCUUUUCAUGUGUCUGAUGGCCAUCUGGAUGUCUUCUUUGGAGAAAUGUCUGUUCAUGUCUUCUACACAUUUUUAAUUGGAUUAUUUGGUUUUAGGGUAUUGAGUUGUUAUAGUUCUUUAUAUAUUUUAGACACUAACCCUUUAUCAGAUAUAUCAUUUGCAAGUGAUCUUUUCCCAUUCCCUAGGUUGCCUUUUAGUUUUGUUGAUUGUUUCCUUCACUGUGCAGAAACUUUUUAUUUUGAUAUAAUCACAAUAGUUUGUUUUUUCUUUUAUUUCCCUUGCCUCAGGAGACAUAUCUAGAAAAAUACUGCUUAGAUCCAAUGUCAGAGAGCCUGUGCUCUCUUCUAGAAUUUUAUGGUUUCAGGUCUCACAUAUAGGUCUUUAAUCCAUUUUGAAUCUAUUUUUGUAUCUGUCAAAGGAAGUGAUCCAGCUUCAUUCUUUUGCAUGUGGCUGUCCAGUUUUUCCAGCACCAUUUGUUGUGAGAUUGUCCCUUUUGUUUGUUGUAUAUUCAUUCCUUCUUUGUUAAAGAUUAAUUGAUCAUAUAAUUGUGAGUUUAUUUCUGGGUUUUCUACUCUGGGUUUUCUAGUCUCUUUCUAUUGACCAGUGUGUCUGUUUUUAUGCUAGUACCAUACUGUUCAAAUCACUACGGCUUUAUAAUAUAAUUGUGAUGCCUCUAGUCUUGCUUUUUUUUCUCGAAAUUGCUUUUGUUAUUUGAGGUCUUCUGUGACUCCAUACAAAUUUUAGGAUAGUUUGUUCUGGGUCUGUGAAAAAUGUUGUUGGUAUUUUGAUAGGGAUUGCAUUAAAUGUGUUCACAGGGAUGCACCGUGAUAUUUAUAGCAGCUAUCUACAACAGCCAAAUUAUGGAAACAGCUCAAGUGUCCAUUGACUGAUUAAUGGAUAAAGAAAAACUAGUAUGUAUGUGUAUACAUAUGUAUAUAUGUAUGUAUGUAUACAUAUGCACAUAUAAUGAAAUAUUAUUCAGCCAUAAAAAAGAAUGAACUCUUGUCAUUUGUAAUGACAUAAAUGGAGCUAGAGAGCAUUAUAAUAAGUGAAAUAGGUCAAAUAAAGAUAAAAACCAAAUGAUUUCACAAAUGUGUGGAAUUUAAGAGACAAAUCAACCAAGGGAAGGGAAAGAGAGAGAGACAAACUAAGAAAUAGACUGUUAACUAUAAAGAACAAAGUGAUGGUUACCGGAAUGGAGGUGGGUAGGAGGGAGGGUUAAAUAGAUGAUGGGGAUUAAGGAGUGCACUUGUUGUAAGGAGCACCGGUUAUUAUAUGGAAGUGUUGAAACACUAUGUUGUACACCUGAAACUAAUAUUAAACUGUAUGUUAACUAACUGAAAUACAAAUAAAAACUUAACAAAGAAAU